AGUGAACGCUGGCGGUAGGCCUAACACAUGCAAGUCGAACGGCCGCACAGUAAGAGCUUGCUCUUACGGGUGGCGAGUGGCGGACGGGUGACGAAUACAUCGCCAUCUUCUUUUUCGGGGGGGAUAACGUAGGGAAACUUACGCUAAUACCGCAUACGACCUACGGGUGAAAGCAGGGGAUCUUCGGACCUUGCGCGACUGAAUGAGCCGAUGUCGGAUUAGCUAGUUGGCGGGGUAAAGGCCCACCAAGGCGACGAUCCGUAGCUGGUCUGAGAGGAUGAUCGGCCACACUGGAACUGAGACACGGUCCAGACUCCUACGGGAGGCAGCAGUGGGGAAUAUUGGACAAUGGGCGAAAGCCUGAUCCAGCCAUACCGCGUGGGUGAAGAAGGCCUUCGGGUUGUAAAGCCCUGUUGUUGGGAAAGAAAAGAAGCAGGUUAAUACCCCGCUGUUCUGACGGUACCCAAAGAAUAAGCACCGGCUAACUUCGUG
RNAcentral lists this ribosomal RNA (492 nucleotides) under uncultured bacterium. RNAcentral's name for it is "partial 16S ribosomal RNA". It matches the Rfam family "Bacterial small subunit ribosomal RNA", at positions 29 to 507 of the family's 1533-position model. The record is from RNAcentral.